CGCUCAGAUACACGGCGUGGCUCGGUGAGAGCUCUCACUCAACCCUGUACUGCAGAGCAGAGCACUUCUGAGAGCACUACCAUUAACUAUUUCACCACCACAAGGCCAGUCUAUCAAUUAUUACCAUUCGAAUCCGUCCACGUCUUUUUUGUUUCCUUUCCUUCUUUGCACACACGAUUUCGCUCUUUAGAGGCAAACUGCUACGUUUUGUUUUGUUUUCGGUGUUAGGGAAGUAUUUGUCAAGUGCUGCUGGAGUUACUACCACCGUUUGACACUUCUUACGAUUUCUCUGGAGAGGACCGAAAAUAAAACCCUGAACUCCGAGCCCCCCCGUGUGGGAGAAGCAGAGGUGGGCGCGUCGAGACAGGAUCCCGAGCUGCCAGUGGGAUGGUAGAGGUCUGGGGGCGGGGCCAGGACUGACAGAAGGAGCAUGGUGAAGCACCAACCCCUGCAGGUCUAUGAGCGCCAGCUAUGUCUGUCAUGCCUUACCGGGAUCUACGGUUGCCGCUGGAAACGCUACCAACGUUCCCAUGACGACACAACCAAGUGGGAGCUGCUGUGGUCCCUGAUCCUUCUCUUCACUUUCUGCCUGCUGCUGUUCUGGUGCUACUUCUGGCUUGAGGCGCACAAUGACUACAAUGAGUUCAACUGGCUGCUGUACAACCGCUCGGGGGCCUGGAGCGACAGCACCGUGCCCAUCCUGGCCACCACCGCCGCCGGCUUCACCUAUAUUGCAUUUUUAAUGGUGUUGGCGCUUUGCCAUGUAGCGGUCGGACAGCAGUUAAAUCUGCAUUGGCUCCACAAGAUCGCCGUGAUUGUUGCGCUGCUGACCACCGUCGCCGGGCUAAUAGCUGUCAAUCAAGUGUGGGGGCAGGAGUGGGACGUGGUCCCCAUCUCCUUGCAGGCCACAGGUCCGUUCCUCCACAUCGGAGCUCUGGCUGCAGUCACAGCUCUCUCCUGGGUCGUAGCUGGACAGGUUGCUCGCGCAGAGAAGACAAGGGUCCAGGUGGUGGUUCUGCUGCUGUACCUCGGCGUGUUAUUGGGUCUCUACCUGGUCCCCCUCUCCAUCACCUCUCCCUGCAUCAUGGAGCGCAGCGAGCUCAAACCACGGCCAGACGUCAUCGGCCACCAGGGAGCUCCCAUGCUCGCUCCGGAGAAUACACUGAUGUCCUUCCAGCGCGCAUUGCAAAUGAACGUCACGGGGCUGGAGGCUGACGUAACCAUCAGUGUGGAUGGAGUGCCGUUCCUGAUGCGUGACCGCACGCUGCGCCGGACAACAGAUGUGGAGAAGGUGUUCCCGGACAGGCACGCGGAGGACGCCUCGUUCUUUAACUGGACGGACCUCCGCCAGCUGAACGCCGGACAGUGGUUCUUGGAGGACGACCCCUUCUGGACGGUGCACACCCUCUCCGAGGGGGAGAAGCGGGAGAUGGCCAACCAGAGCGUAUGCAGCCUGGAGCAGCUGCUGGCGCUGGCCGCGCCCCGCAACCGCACGGUGGUCUUCCGGCUGCGCCGCCCCCCCGCCGGCCACCCCUGCCACCACAGCUGGAUCAACGACACGCUGGAGGCCGUCCACUCUGCCCGAGUGCCGCUGAGCCUGGUGAUGUGGACGCCGGACGAGGACCGGGACCAAGUAAGGCGGAUGGCCCCCGAGCUGCUCCAGACGUCGCUACGGAAACAGAGCCCCCAGGCCCUCCACCAGCAGGGCGUCGGCAGGCUGCUGCUACGAUACAACCUCGCCAGCGCACAGGAUGUCCGAGAGUUCUCCCAGAGCAACGUGAGCCUGGCCCUGCACACGGUGAACGAGCCCUGGCUGUACUCGGUGCUGUGGUGCAGCGGGGUCCCGGCCGUGUCCUCCGACGCCCCCCACGUCCUCAAGAAGCUGCUCAGCCCCGUCUGGCUCCUGAGACCGGCGGAGUACUGCCUGAUCUGGGUAUCUGCAGACCUGGUCUCCUUUGCUGUAGUCGUAGGAAUCUUUAUAUUCCAGAACUAUCACAUGAUCAGGUUCAGGAUGAGCGGUAUGCGCAGCUACAACCCGGAGCAGAUCAUGUUGAAGGCAGCAGGCAGGAGGUCCAGCCAAGACGUCAACAUCAUGAAGGAGAAGCUCAUCUUCUCUGGUCCGCCCCAGUAGUCAACCUGCCUCCAUCCAUCCUACGUAUGUGAUGCCCAACCACCUCCUCUCCAUCUCUCCAGUCCAGCUGGGCCUCUUCUUCCUCCUACACUUCCUUACUCCAACCCAUUCCGUUGUCCAGUGUUUCCAUCCCCCUGCGUACUUCACAGUACACAUCCAUGCAUCUCCUUGCCUCCCACUCCACCUCCUCCUAAAUGCAACUUUCCCCAUUACCGGAGACAGAGGCGUGUGUGCGUAAGCUUUGUGACACCCCAGGGUGUCAACCCAGCUUCUUAUUCAGGGGGGAGGGGUGAGAAGAGGUCAGCAACGGCAUCGGCACCGCUGAUGAGCUGUACAUGGAGAACAGUUAUGACUACUACACCAACGAAGGCAUCACACAGUGAUUCCCAUUGGCCCACCUACAUCCACUACAAGGAAACUCCUGCCUGUAUGAAAGGGAAUAUUAGAGAUGGGGGUGGGGGGGCGGUACACAAACACAAAGUGACAAUGUAAGAUAACUUUCUUUUUCUUCCUUUCCUGAAGUCAUUUGAAUAGUUGUAAGUCUGGUCUCUUCCCUUGUGCUACUUAUUGACCUGCAGACCACUGCAUUUUCUGGGGAUGAUAUGGAAACUUCCCAUUUGCUGUGCAUACGUUGUGUAUAUAAGAUUUGUUCAUGCUCGUCUGAACUACAUAUUGUAAUGUGAGACUGUAAAGCACUUUUUAGUAUUGAAAAUAUUUAGCCAAAUCUUUGGCUUCCUUUGCUGGGUCGAGAUAUUUCAGGCGCGCCAUACGUUACCAAUGCCUGCUUCCCUAAACAUGGUUUUCUUUAGCUCUCUAUUAAUGAUUUUCUUGAAAGCGUGUUUUGGGAAAGCUGUCACUUUAUUUAACACACUGUAGUUGACAUUUUAAGUUUUAUCUGGCGACGAUAGCUUUGGUAGAGUUGUACACGAGAUGUCGACAAAGUAUGAGGCAACACAAGGAAAUGUUGCCUGAUGUUGACACACUGCUCUGCUGUGUGAUUAACACGACUAAACUUUAAUAUUUAUAUUUUGUUUUUUAAAGGACAAAAAUAUCGCCUUGCUGUUUACACGGUUCCUACCUGCUCGACCAAGUGAAAUGUUUUUCCCUGAGAGAGGGGUAUUUAAAUGAUGCCUCUAUUAUCCAUGCAUGGAUAGGGCUGACCUCACCAGGAGAUUAGUCGGAGCUGCGCUCCCUAAGAGACACUAAACGAAGUGAUGGAACAGUCUGAAGUUUGCUCUUUAUGGUGUCUUUUUAAGGUGCACGUGAAUGUGUUUGGACGUAUUUCUUUUUUUAAGAUGUGAGGGCCUACAAUGUAUUUGGUUGACUGACUGGGUGUUUGCAGUGUUGGUAUGAGUGUGUCGCUGUAUAAGUAGAUGGUAAAUUAUGCUCUGGCUAGGAGCAGCAUUUUAACGAUGUGACCAUGGUGUGUAACACACAUAGGACCAAUCGUCAUGGCCCUGUGGAAGUCAAGAUGUCCGUACUUUGCUGGAAAGACUUGUUGAGGAUUGCAGUUAACCUACAGCAUGUUGUCAACUGAAGACAUUUAUGUUUGCUGAUGAUGGCGUGAAACAAAAUGUGAGUGCUUUUGGGCAAAUGAAGUGGGGUGUUUUUAUGUGAAAAGAAAUCUGUAAGCGGUUGAAGGGACAUUGCAUAACAACCGGCUGUGCAGGGUCAAUAAAGGGAUUGCCUUUUGUGUUAUUUUCUCUCUUUGGGUAGCCUAUUACUGUGCCUCAAAGGUUAACAUUAAAAGCUCAUUUGAAACAAGA
Molecule: RNA transcript, 3897 nt
Organism: Gadus morhua (Atlantic cod)
Lineage: Eukaryota; Metazoa; Chordata; Actinopteri; Gadiformes; Gadidae
Gene: gdpd5b
Gene name: glycerophosphodiester phosphodiesterase domain containing 5b
Exons: 18
Source: RefSeq, a predicted model, not a curated record